UGGCGGCGGCAGCGGUGGCGGCGAGAGAGGAGGAUGAUGAACAUUAGCUCCUUCAUAAUUUUUUAUUUUUAAUUUUCUCAUUUUGAUUUGAAUUUUGAAAUAUGGAUUUGAAAUUGUUGUUAGAGACAAGAUUUGAAUUUGAAUUUGAAUUAUUAGUUAUCCUUGAUUUUUGGUUUCUUUAUUAAUGUGAAUUGUACUAUUUUUGUAAUAUGAGUCCUAAUUAUACUCUUUUUGUAAUUAUUUAGUUGAUGCAUUUUUCUUGUAAUUUCUUUCUAUUUGUUGUAUACUUAUGUAAAGGACCCUAUUAAAUAUCUAUUUAUUUUAUAAAGGGAGGGUAGUAAAAAUAACGGUAUCUCUUGAAUCUGUGUUACAUCUAAAUUCUAACUUUCUUUCUUUUUCUCCUUUCUCUUGUAUACUUAUAAUCUCUCUGUUUUUCUCCUUCCCCUUGUAUACUUAUAAUCUCUCAGAUAUUUUCUAACUCAUAUUUUAUAAUUUCUAUUUAAAAUUUAUUUAUUUAUUUUAAUUGCGCACACAAAGUGUAUGCCACAAAUACUAGUGGAAAUAAUAUGAUUAGAAAGAACUAACAAAUAGGAAAAAAAAUACUAUUUAAAAAACCAAACGUAUGUUAUAAGGCAAGAAUGUACAAAAGGUUUGUGGCCUGCAGUCUGGUCUUGGUCCGAUCUAGUAGAGGCUUGAACUAGUCAGGCCCAACUUAGAAAGUUUGAAAAGGCUUCCCUUUUAGUAUAGAAAUUUGGCAUGGACCAGCCUGGCCAAAAGCCCAACCUAGACUGACCUAUGGCCUGAGUCCAGCCUGGUUAGGCACAACAUGGCUGACCUACUUUGUUAGCUUAUUAGUUGCUACCUGUUGUGAGAUGUCCUGUCGUCGACGAAUAAGCUUUCAUUUUCAGAUUUCUUUGUUCUUGUAUGUGUAUUUGAGAUCCGGAGGUGGGGGACACUAGAAAGAAAGAGAAAGGAGAGUAGUUGAGUAGCUCUACGUUAGUAGAGUAACUCUGCUUUAGUUAAGGCUGAAGUCACUCUAAACUCUACGAUUUAAGUAAUGACUCUACAAUUGUUAAGUCAUUACUCUACGAUCUAAGUCAUGACUCUACGAUCUUAACGAUCGUAGGGUCCAUAUAUCAUCUAUUACUAAGAUUUGCCUCUGUUUCAUCUCAACCUGAGAAGUCGAAAAGUUACCUAAUGUUAAUGUCUCAUUUGACAUGGUGGUCCAUGAUCAUGGCAACCAUCUAUGGAAACACAAUUUUCAGAUAGAGCAUAGGCCUCAACUUGUCAUAAUUUCGUGGGAGAAGUCUGGCCUGGUCUGGCGAACCCAAAGUCAAGGUCUAGCAUAGUUUGAUCAACGACAAAGGUCUGGCAGGCCGGACCAUGCCAGCAUGUUGUGCACCUCUACUAUAAGGAGGAUCAUCAUUCAUUCAGUACUUAUUAAAUCAAUCCAACCAUUAUAAAAAUGUCGUUGGCCUGCCGCAUACUUGUGGGACUCGCCUAAUGAAUCUGCGUUGAUUGACAUAACAAGAUUUAUAUUAAAAUUUCAGUUUUUUUUUUAAAAAAAUGAUAAAAAUAUUCAUGUCUCAUAUCUUAAGGGCCCACCCGACGCCCCCUCAUAUCAAUCUGGUACAUUCAUAAAAUUUCUCUCAAAGUAAUGGCCUCAUUUCGAACUUAAAAAAAACAACUUAAUCACCAAGUUAGCCCUCACACAUAAAUGACUACCUAAUGAUCAUAAAAGUUGAAUUUGUCUCCUCCCUUUUGAUCACAUUUAUCAUAAAAUUGGCUUUAGCAUAUAUAGGAAAAAAGCAAUGGUGGUAUGAAUGUGAGAACUUCAUGGUGGUACAGAAGAAGUGGGUUGGAUUUUUUGGAUGGAAUGAUUCUAUGAAGAUACUCUAACUCUAAACAGAUGCUUGAAAAGAACAUAAAGACAAAAGUACUCCUCACCAUAAUUGAAGUUUUUAUAUGAUUAUGUGAUUAUGUUGCUAACCUUAUCAUAUACUCUUUCAUAUAUUCUUUUCAUCAUAAAAGAAUAAAUAAAGUACAAUUUAUAUAUAUAUUAAGAAAAAUAAAAAUAAAGAAAAUAGAGUAAAAAGAUUUCAAAUUUAUCCCUAAUAGCUCCACAAAAAUAUAUAAAAUGAUGAGUAUUUUUAUUUUAUAUACUAAUAGACCUUACCAAAUAACUUAGUUACCCUUCACUUUAUAUAUUUUAUUUUAUUCUUUUAAGGACAAAAAAUUGUACUUUUAAUCAUCCUUUUAGAAAGGAGGGAGUAUAUAUAAAGAAAUAGUUAGAUGUUGCUAUCUAUUCGAAUAUAUUCCUUGAUUUUGAUAUUAUGUAUAAUGAUAUUAUUCAGGUAUGACAAAAUAUGAUUAUGGGUUGGUUUUGAUUUACAAAAUUUUAUUAUUGUUUUAUUUAAGAACUAAAAUCACAUUACCUAUUUUUAAUACGAGUUGUGUAGGUUAGAACCAUAUAGUUUGAGUCAAAUAUAAGUCAACCCAUAUUUUAAAUUUCAAACUUAACAUUAUUAUGGUCCAAUUAAAUAAAUUAUUUAUAAUAUUUAAUUUUAUAUUCCUUCAACAAAGUAAUAGAAGACCAUAAGUGAGAUGUUAAAUAUCAGCUUUUGUGGUAUUUCUUGUGAUAAAUUGUACCUCAGGAUUCAAGUAACGAUGCAACUCACGAAUUCAAUUCCUUCAUGUUCCACAAAAGAGAAGGAGUAAUUGUGUUUAAUUAUAACUUUUAUCAUUAGCUCGCGAUAGUGAUUUUGAUCUAAAGGCACCCUUUCUAACUCACCGUCAAAUAAUUUUUUUCCAUGUUUUAAGCUAACAUAUCGAAGCAUAUUAUUAGUAUCGUGUUCACAUGUAUAAAUUUGACCACAAUCUUUACACUUAUCUUUUAAUUUUUCAUCAAUAACUUUUUCAAAUUGGUCCCAAACUAAAGUGGUGCAUUUGUUAGAACGUUUGUACCUAUACUUAUAGAAAUACUUUGUUCAGUGUUCCGUUUGGCGCACACACUUGUAAAUACACUUUGUUUUGUUCUUCCAUGAGAGAAUAUUAUAUCAAAAACCAAAGUCACAACCUGUUUUCACGCACAAAUAAGAUCCAAACUCAUUACAAACUACAAAGUAAUUAUACUUAUGCACAUGCUUAGUCAACAUAGGAACCAAAGUAACAUGCUUUCAACAUUUAUAUAAAUAAGCAUUACCUAUAACUUACAACUUAAGUAAGGUUCUGGGAGAAAAAGAAAAGCCUAAUAAAAAAAAUUACAAAUGGGGUGAUUAGAUAACUUAUCUAUAACUUACAAAAGAACCUGUCAAACAGGACCUCAAAAAGAUUUUAUAAAAUCUUAUACUACUUUUUGUGCAUUGGUUUCAACGGAGUGCAGAACUUUCUCUUUAGCAAUAGAAAGAAACACUACACUACUACUUCGGUGACACGUUUAAUAGUAAGAAAAUAACCAUGCUAUUACAGUAUUCCCAAUAUUGUAACAGAGGAGAAGUCACAUCUGGUUUUGUAUAAAUUCUAUCAAUUAUCCCAAUUUUGAACUUAGCAGUAAGAGCAAUUAAUAUCAUAGCUCUACACCAUUAAUUAUAGUUCUUCACAAUCAGAGUUUCAUUAAUAAGUAACAAACGAGGAUGAUCAGAUGAUGGAUACAUAAAGUAUGAAUGUAAAGCAUCAAUUUGAACCACAUCAGGUAGUUGAUUAUUGUUAUUAUUAUUUUGUUGAUUUUGAGUAACAGCAACAACAAAAGAUCUAGUAUUAGGCAUCUUACUUUUGAAGAACUGAUGCACAAGUAGGAAAUGAAGAUAUAGGGUUUUUGCAGUUCAACUCAAUCGAGAAACAACCAAACAAUGGAAAAUUUGUGUAAUUGAAGCAUUGUAGCAAACAGAUGGUAGAUAGUAACCAAAUACCUGAGAUCAGAAAGGAAGCGAAGGAAGAUCGAAGAUCACCAUAAGCUCUGAUACCAUGUAAGAAUCUUCUAACGGAGAAAGAGAAAAAUAAAUUUCUAACAAAACUUGUUACGAGAAGGGGAGAGACCAAGAUGAAACGAAGAACACGCGAGUCUGGGGAACAGUUAAAGAGAUUUGGAUCUGGAUUUGGAUUAAAAAAUCUGGGUUUGGGUCUAUAUUUUUUUUUAAAAAUACGAGUCUAAAUUUUAUCCGAAUACCUGUUUCACAAAAUUGACUAGCAUUUGAAAUUUGAUAUAGUCACAAGUUUUUUAUUCAGCUGAAAUCCACUAACAAUGAGAAAAAUAAGUAAAACCACUAAAUUGUCAACUUUAGUAUAUGAAGGCGGCUGUCCCAUACACACAUUG
RNAcentral lists this long non-coding RNA (4312 nucleotides) under Panax ginseng (ginseng). RNAcentral's name for it is "long non-coding RNA (PGIN_LNC006490)". The record is from RNAcentral. Lineage: Eukaryota; Viridiplantae; Streptophyta; Magnoliopsida; Apiales; Araliaceae.